GGGAAUCAGCCUGCCCCUCGGCCCCUGCACACUAGGCUUCUAGAGGGAGAAACUUCUAGGGCGCCAAGGGGCUUCCAAAGGGGCUGGACUUUUCCCUCUUGGCAUGGCCGUGGCCGCUCCUCUGGGCUGUGUGUCCCUGCCCGAGGUUCUACAUGGGGAACCCUGGUCAAGCCUGUCCUCGCUGAGGCCUCGUCUCCUCCUCGGUAAAACAAGGGGUUUAGUGCCAUCCAGUCUCCAAAAAUUCAGCUGCUUAAACUGCGGUCAAGGUCUCUGCCAAGCCCCUAUGAUGAAGCGUCUGCUUCUUCACCACCACCUCCGUCCCCUCCUUCUCCAUCGAAUGGAUGGCCCGGACCCUUCCAGAACUUGGGCUAAGACCUCCAAGGGCACCAACGAAGGUGGUCUACGGGAAGAGGAGGGGAAUCUGGGUCUGUUUCAGUCACUGCCUGCUGCCUCUGAGCUGCCCGCCCACCCCUGGCCUGCCUCCCACUGGUAGCGCUUCCCC
Molecule: long non-coding RNA, 502 nt
Filed under: Dasypus novemcinctus (nine-banded armadillo)
Lineage: Eukaryota; Metazoa; Chordata; Mammalia; Cingulata; Dasypodidae
Description: lncRNA (ENSDNOG00000050269.1)
Source: RNAcentral